RNAcentral lists this ribosomal RNA (539 nucleotides) under uncultured bacterium. RNAcentral describes it as "partial 16S ribosomal RNA". It matches the Rfam family "Bacterial small subunit ribosomal RNA", at positions 355 to 886 of the family's 1533-position model. The record is from RNAcentral.
UAGGGAAUCUUCCACAAUGGACGCAAGUCUGAUGGAGCAACGCCGCGUGAGUGAAGAAGGUUUUCGGACCGUAAAGCUCUGUUGUUGGUGAAGAAGGAUAGAGGUAGUAACUGGCCUUUAUUUGACGGUAAUCAACCAGAAAGUCACGGCUAACUACGUGCCAGCAGCCGCGGUAAUCGUAGGUGGCAAGCGUUGUCCGGAUUUAUUGGGCGUAAAGCGAGCGCAGGCGGAAGAAUAAGCCUGAUGUGAAAGCCCUCGGCUUAACCGAGGAAUUGCAUCGGAAACUGUUUUCUUGAGUGCAGAAGAGGAGAGUAGAACUCCAUGUGUAGCGGUGGAAUGCGUAGAUAUAUGGAAGAAUACCAGUGGCGAAGGCGGCUCUCUGGUCUGCAACUGACGCUGAGGCUCGAAAGCAUGGGUAGCGAACAGGAUUAGAUACCCUGGUAGUCCAUGCCGUAAACGAUGAGUGCUAAGUGUUGGGAGGCUUCCGCCUCUCAGUGCUGCAGCUAACGCAUUAAGCACUCCGCCUGGGGGAGUACGAC